UACGUAGGGACCAAGCGUUGUUCGGAUUUACUGGGCGUAAAGGGCGCGUAGGCGGCAGAUCAAGUCAGUUGUGAAAUCUCUGGGCUUAACUCAGAACUGUCAACUGAUACUGUUUUGCUAGAGUGCGGAAGGGGCAAUCGGAAUUCUCGGUGUAGCGGUGAAAUGCGUAGAGAUCGUAAGGAAGACCAGUGGCGAAGGCGAGUUCCUGGACAGUUACUGACGCUGAGGCACGAAGGCCAGGGGAGCAAACGGG
RNAcentral lists this ribosomal RNA (253 nucleotides) under uncultured bacterium. RNAcentral describes it as "partial 16S ribosomal RNA". It matches the Rfam family "Bacterial small subunit ribosomal RNA", at positions 524 to 776 of the family's 1533-position model. The record is from RNAcentral.